Molecule: long non-coding RNA, 152 nt
Organism: Hibiscus syriacus
Lineage: Eukaryota; Viridiplantae; Streptophyta; Magnoliopsida; Malvales; Malvaceae
Exons: 3
Source: RefSeq, a predicted model, not a curated record
UUAGCUUUCUUCUUAUCAUUUUCAAGUUCCCUUGCAGUUUUCCUCAUGUGCUUUGACAAACAUCCUCGAAAAGCUGAGCAGAGUAGCCAUGACUAUAGAAAAAGUUGCAGACAAAAGGGAAAGUGAUAAAUCUGAGUGAAACAAAGUAUAAG